Molecule: RNA transcript, 2455 nt
Organism: Anastrepha ludens (Mexican fruit fly)
Lineage: Eukaryota; Metazoa; Arthropoda; Insecta; Diptera; Tephritidae
Exons: 3
Source: RefSeq, a predicted model, not a curated record
GACGCCCAGACCUUCGUUAAAUUAUAAAAGUUGGAAAUUUUUCUAUAUACGUCUCCUAUACAGGUAUAAGCAAACCCAGAUUAUUAAACCUGGGUCGCGGUGGCUUUGGCAGGUAACAGGUAGUAAAGACAGUUUCGAUGGUUCCCCUAUCUUCCCAGACAUAAUGAAGUCCACUCCAGGCGUGAGCGCGAUGAAUAUAUAUGUACGUUGGUGCGAGUGAAAUAGCGCGAUUGGUCUACGGCGAUCUUUUUCUGCGCAUCAGCUGUCUUAUACUCUGUAUAAUACUCCGUAUUGUAUAUUAUUGUAGUGUGAACUGUUAUACGUACAGCAAGCGUUUAAUAAUUUAUUUGCAAAAUUUAUUAUAAAAUAAGUGGUCUAGUUGUGAUAAAGUGUUGUCAUGGAAACGGAGGAACCGGAAAGAAACAAAUUAAGUUGUUUUAUUUGUAAGAAAAGUGAGGGGAAAUUAAUAUUGCUUUCUGAAGAGACAUUAAAGAAGUGCCGAACUGUUUUGAAAGUCAGAAAAAAACACAACCUUAAAUAUGCGAAUGUUAUUUUGCCUGAUGAAUAUACAGAUGGAGGUUAUCACCGGGAAUGCCAUAAAACAUUCACAGGCGUUAAUAAACAGUACUACAAUUCGGAGCCUGCAGAUUUAAAAAAGAAAAAAAGAGUAAACAAAGAGUCGAUCAGUGUAGACAAUUUAUCUCCAGAUACACCGAUAGUACCUGAGUUCACUACCGAACUCGCAACAAAAUCUUCAACAUCAUCAGAACAAAAUUUAUAUUCUGAAUUGAUAAAGCUCCAGCCUUCAACCUCCACAGAACAAUCUCAUUUACCGCCUCAACAUACAGAACCUUCAACAAUUUCACAAUCGACUUUAGCUAGUGAAUCAGAGGUCUUACAAUCGACAAGUUAUCAAAAAAAUGGUGACAUUAGUACACCAGAUGUUACUGAAGUAAACAAUGUAAUUGAGGACGUAAAUACUCAACCCGAAAAUGUUGUCAGUAGUAAUGACUCUCCGAUUGUUUGUAUAUUUUGUAAUAAACGAAGAAGAAAGUGCGCUCAAAAAUGCUUCCACUUCAUGCAGCUGAAACAAACCAAUUUAAAGGUAGUAUUUUUUCUAACAUUGAAGGUUUAGAAGAAUAUAACGAGUUUUCAACUACAUUGAAUAAUUACUCUGCUCCAAAAAUAUAUUAUCAUACUGAUUGUCGAGUUCAUUUUAACAAUGAUGUGUCGUCUAAAAAAAAAUCAUCUAGUAAAAGUCAUUGGCAUUACAAUCGAGAGUAUCACAGACAAGUUUUUGACGAAAUUGGCAGCAUUAUCGAAGAAGAUAUUAUUAAAAAGGGACGAUGUUAUUUUUUAAUAUAUUUACAUGAACUGUAUAAAGAGUCAUUGGAAAAAAUUUAUCAAGAUAAUUCCGUUGAAAUGAACUUUGUUUUCACAGCACACCAUCUCGAAGAAAAAAUUAUGAAAGUAUAUUCUGAAGAUAUAAAAUUUUUUACUAUUCGAAAUAAAAAAAUUGUUGCACCUAAAUAUUUACAAUCAAUAGAUAAAACAGUCCUCGACAGCUUACACACAGAAAAUAUUUUACAGAAGUCCGCAUUACUUUUAAGGAAACUAAUUCUGAAAAUUGAAAAAAAUAAAUUACCUUCAAUGUGAGGUACGUGAAUCUAACAAAGAUACACGCCCAGUUAGGAGAAUCCAUUUGCCGAAGCUUGCCUGGUUUCCACGCAAUAACAGGGUGCGAUUACAAUCCGGCAUUAUUUAGAAAGGGAAAACUAAGACCUUACAAACUAUUAAAAAAAAAACGAUGAAUUCCAAAAAGUUUUUAUAAAGUUCGGCGAAAAUAAGUUAAUAGAGGACAGCAGUGAACAGAAGAACAUUUUCAAUAGUAUUCAGAAAUAUAUAUGCAGUGUAUAUAAUGUUCGGAAUGCAAUUGAUGUCAAUUCUGCUCGAGUUCAGAUGUUUAUAGACUCAUACAAAGUUUCCGACAUUAAUGAGGCUUUCAAUCGAAAAAAAUUGAGAAACUUUGAUGCUAGCAGUUUACCACCUUGUGAAAAUGAGCUACUACAGCAUUUUUUACGAGCUAAUUAUAUUUGUACGAUUUGGAACAAUGCUCACUUAAGAAAACCUACUUCACAUAAACCUGAAAAUAAUGGCUGGGUACUGGAAAAUGAUCAAUACCAUUUUAAAUGGUUUGAAGGAGAUCAGCUACCUACUUAUGUCAGUGAUUCUCUACAAACUUUGUCAGAAGCUGAUGAAGACGAUGACAUUCAUGAGGACAAAUCCGCAGAAUGGAGUAGCGGUGAUGAAGAUAAUCGAGAUACCGACGAGGACGAUGAAGUUGAUUAAAUAUUUUUUUUUGAUUUAAUAAUAAUGUUUGACACAUUAUAUUUUUACUUUGUAUUGUAAUGGCUAUAAUUAUAAAUAUAAUUGAAAUCUUUUUCGAUUGGUUCAA